Molecule: ribosomal RNA, 405 nt
Filed under: uncultured bacterium
Lineage: Bacteria
Description: partial 16S ribosomal RNA
Rfam family: Bacterial small subunit ribosomal RNA
Source: RNAcentral
AUUGAACGCUAGCGGGAUGCUUUACACAUGCAAGUCGAACGAGGGGCGGACGGGUGAGUAAUAUAUCGGAACGUGCCCAGUAGCGGGGGAUAACUACUCGAAAGCGUGGCUAAUACCGCAUACUAUUAGAGCGGCCGCUAUCGGAUUAGCUAGGUGGUGGGGUAAAGGCUCACCAAGGCAACGAUCCGUAGCUGGUUUGAGAGGACGACCAGCCAAACUGGGACUGAGACACGGCCCAGACUCCGACGGUAGGCAGCAGUGGGGAAUUUUGGACAAUGGGGGAAACCCUGAUUCAGCCAUCCCGCGUGUAUGAGAAGGCCUUCGGGUUGUAAAGUACUUUUGGCGGGGAAGCGGUAUCUGCAGAAUAAGCACCGGCUAACUACGUGCCAGCAGCCGCGGUAAUUC